Solanum lycopersicum (tomato) is the source of this 1504-nucleotide long non-coding RNA. RefSeq lists it as uncharacterized. NCBI's taxonomy places the organism in Eukaryota, Viridiplantae, Streptophyta, Magnoliopsida, Solanales, Solanaceae. The record is from RefSeq and is a predicted model, not a curated record.
CACAACUUUACUUUAUCUAUUUCUAAUAUUUUCCUACUCUUUUAUUAAAAUUUAAAAAUUCAUUUUUUACACCCAAUGAUACUUAACUUACUUUUUAUGCUGGAAAUCAAAACCGAAACUUUCCCAUCCCCAAAAAUUUCGCUCAAAAUUUUCCCCUUAAAGUAAAUUUGAAAUUCAAAAAAGUCCAAUCCUUAUUCAUCCGCUUUAGAGUUCAGAAUUGGUUUUUCAUCUUCUCUAGUAAGAUUUCUUCCCCCUUUUUUUUUCUUUUUACUUUCUUGUGUAUUUAAUGUUCUUCCUUUUCUAAAAUAUUUUAUAGUUUUUUUUUCAGAAUCGAAAGUGUUGACACCCAAUUUUGACCCACCUUGGUAUAAAUUAAUUCUCGAGCUUCGUAAAUUUUCCAAACAAUUUAAAUUAAUUAGUUUUAUAAAUUUUGCGAAAAUAUAAUAAUAUAAUGUAUGAAUUUUAUGUUACUUCGGAUACUUUUGUCAUUUUUCUUAUAAUUUUUAGAUAGCCUAUAUAUUUUGCAUGAUUAUGUAUAUAGUUGGUAUAUUUUAUGACUAUUUCUCAAAAUAUUUUAAAUUUUAGUAAGUAUUUUAUUUAAAUAAUUUAGUUUAAAUUAUGGUUAUAUUUUGAAUCACUAUUUUUUACAAUUAAAAUAAUUAUAUUACUAGAAUAAAGAAGCUCGUUGAUUAAUUGAUACAAAUUUAUUUUAUUUAAGGUUUAGCCAAAUUUAUUAUCCUAACUCAAUUUGACCAUUUAUUAAAUUAACCUAUUCCCCCCUAAACUCAUCAAAAACCAGAUUUGAGCCUAUUUCUUUUUCCAAUUCCCCUUUUAAUUUCCAGCCCAUACUAAUUCUUCAUUUAUUCCAGGCCCACUUUUAUUUUUCAGACACCCCAGGCCCAAUUACAUGCCCAUUCCAGCCUACAUUAUGUUCUUCCAGCCCUUUCCUUUCAAAAAACCCUAGUAAUUCCUCUAUAUAAACCCCCCGUCUUCUUCAGAAAAGGGGUUGGAAAAAUUUUGGGAUAUAUUUUUAUCACAUAAAGAUAUAGAGGAAUUUUGAGGAAGCUCUCCGAUUUUUUUUCUUACUAAUACUUUAGCUGGAAUUUCCUAGCAAGAUAUAUUCAUAUAAAGGGGGAAGAAUAAUCGAGCUACGAAAGCAUAGCAAGUUAAGAAGCAAGGGGUUGUUGUUCAAGUUGUGGAAGCUCGUCUUUGCUAGCUCGUCCGUCUCUAGUUCGCUGCCCCGAAGGAGGUACAAAUACGCAGAGAUAAUAUGGAAAAUACAGGGUGAAUAGUGAGAAACACGUAUUCAAACAAGUGCAGGCCUCAAAAAGUCUAAUACGAAUUGGAUAUAUAUAGUAUACAUCAUUUGUAUACUUUAAUUUUUUUUUUCCAGGAAAUGGGCCAGGACCCUUUAGCAGACUUUUUUUUUUUAAAAUAGGACCAAGGGUCCAAAUGUUUUUCUUUUUUGGGAAAUUUUUCAAAAUGUCAAUAUUUUAGCAUUUAA